Molecule: ribosomal RNA, 1343 nt
Filed under: uncultured bacterium
Lineage: Bacteria
Description: 16S ribosomal RNA
Rfam family: Bacterial small subunit ribosomal RNA
Source: RNAcentral
GACGAACGCUGGCGGCGUGCUUAACACAUGCAAGUCGAACGGAAAGGCCCUGCUUUUGUGGGGUGCUCGAGUGGCGAACGGGUGAGUAACACGUGAGUAACCUGCCCUUGACUUCGGGAUAACUUCAGGAAACUGGGGCUAAUACCGGAUAGGAGCUCCUGCUGCAUGGUGGGGGUUGGAAAGUUUCGGCGGUUGGGGAUGGACUCGCGGCUUAUCAGCUUGUUGGUGGGGUAGUGGCUUACCAAGGCUUUGACGGGUAGCCGGCCUGAGAGGGUGACCGGCCACAUUGGGACUGAGAUACGGCCCAGACUCCUACGGGAGGCAGCAGUGGGGAAUAUUGCACAAUGGGCGGAAGCCUGAUGCAGCAACGCCGCGUGCGGGAUGACGGCCUUCGGGUUGUAAACCGCUUUCGCCUGUGACGAAGCGUGAGUGACGGUAAUGGGUAAAGAAGCACCGGCUAACUACGUGCCAGCAGCCGCGGUGAUACGUAGGGUGCGAGCGUUGUCCGGAUUUAUUGGGCGUAAAGGGCUCGUAGGUGGUUGAUCGCGUCGGAAGUGUAAUCUUGGGGCUUAACCCUGAGCGUGCUUUCGAUACGGGUUGACUUGAGGAAGGUAGGGGAGAAUGGAAUUCCUGGUGGAGCGGUGGAAUGCGCAGAUAUCAGGAGGAACACCAGUGGCGAAGGCGGUUCUCUGGGCCUUUCCUGACGCUGAGGAGCGAAAGCGUGGGGAGCGAACAGGCUUAGAUACCCUGGUAGUCCACGCUGUAAACGGUGGGUACUAGGUGUGGGGUCCAUUCCACGGGUUCCGUGCCGUAGCUAACGCUUUAAGUACCCCGCCUGGGGAGUACGGCCGCAAGGCUAAAACUCAAAGGAAUUGACGGGGCCCCGCACAAGCGGCGGAGCAUGCGGAUUAAUUCGAUGCAACGCGUAGAACCUUACCUGGGUUUGACAUGGAUCGGGAGUGCUCAGAGAUGGGUGUGCCUCUUUUGGGGUCGGUUCACAGGUGGUGCAUGGCUGUCGUCAGCUCGUGUCGUGAGAUGUUGGGUUAAGUCCCGCAACGAGCGCAACCCUUGUUCACUGUUGCCAGCACGUUAUGGUGGGGACUCAGUGGAGACCGCCGGGGUCAACUCGGAGGAAGGUGGGGAUGACGUCAAGUCAUCAUGCCCCUUAUGUCCAGGGCUUCACGCAUGCUACAAUGGCUGGUACAGAGAGUGGCGAGCCUGUGAGGGUGAGCGAAUCUCGGAAAGCCGGUCUCAGUUCGGAUUGGGGUCUGCAACUCGACCUCAUGAAGUCGGAGUCGCUAGUAAUCGCAGAUCAGCAACGCUGCGGUGAAUACGUUCCCGGG